Molecule: long non-coding RNA, 1706 nt
Organism: Brassica oleracea var. oleracea
Lineage: Eukaryota; Viridiplantae; Streptophyta; Magnoliopsida; Brassicales; Brassicaceae
Exons: 4
Source: RefSeq, a predicted model, not a curated record
AUGUCGGAGAAAUUACACGGGAAAAGGAAAGAUCGGAGAGAGAGAGAUCAGCUUUUUACUUAUCGUCAAUUCCUCCUUGGCGUUCCAUUGAUUCUCCCCUGUCUUUCUCGAGAAAAUGAAAAGGAGAAGAGAGUCGCCAGAGAGCGAGUAACCCUAACCCUAAAUCUUUUUCGCGCGAGAAUUAGAGCGGGCGGGGAGAGAGGGGUUUGUUUGAAGAGUGUUGAUAUACAGAGUCGGCUGAUUUCGUCACGUGGUGCAUAUUAAAGUAGAGCGGGAGAUUUUGAAGCUGUAAUCUUCCCCUACAUCAAUUAUUCCUCGUAGCCAGUACCUUUCAAGCAACCAAAAAGAAGAGAUGUCAUUCGAACAAUGUGCCAUGGACAUAGGUUGCCUUUAGCUCUAGCUUGGAUUCAUCGUAGUUACUCCAAGUAAGCUAACGAUGAGCUAGUCAAAGUAUAUGCAAAAAUAAAAUAAAAGUCAUUCUUUGAACGGCAUGUUAUGUGAAUGACAUGGACAUGGAAGGCUUUGUAAAUGCAUGUUUGGGGGAUUAUCUGAGCAAAGGGCAUGGAGUUGCAGGCAAAGCACUCAUAUCAAACAAACCGUCUUUCUCAUCUGAUGUAAAGACAUUUUGAUAUCUGAAUUUAAAGGGUCUUUUUCAGGAUAAUGAGUGAGAUCAAAAGGGGUAAGUGCUUGCAGAAGAUUAAAGAGCCAAGAGAUCAUUUUUUGACAUGGUUGUCUGAAUUUUCCCCACUCCAAGAUUGUUUCUUGGACACUAAUGCAUCUCUCAUUGCUUCCACUCUGUUAGAUGUUGCAUGCCCUUGAUUAAAGUAAACAACGGUCUCGGUUAUAUGGAAACCCUUGCGACUCUUUGCUACGUACCCAUUUUAUGGCAUGUCUCAGAAAGUGAAGAGAGUAACUAAGAAGCGUGUGUGUAGGAUAAGAAUGUUUGAAAGGAGAGCAAGGGAAUGUAUCCUCCUUGCAAAGCUUGUUGAUUUCCUGUAAAUGGGGAGCUCAAAAUUUUGGUUUAGAUAGAUGUUCUUCAAGUUGUUGGCAAAUUAGAUGUGUCAGAAGAAUCUUCAACAAUAAUAGAAACAAUGAUUGUUAAUGGGUUUCAGAUUCCUCCUUCACAUGUAAGAAAUUAAGAAUGCUACUAAGUUUGUGUGUAGAAUUUUAAGCCACUAGAAAGAACAUAAAGUUUGUUAUCCAUAGUUUAAUGGUCUCGCAAAACUGUUUAUCUAAAUAUGGUUUGACUUUAUUUACCCUUUUCUCAACCACAGGCAGAAUCUGUGAGCCGUAUGUUUGAAAGACACUGGGAGCUUGCAACUGAAUUCCGUCCAAAGAACCCAAAUGUAAGGACAGGCUUACACAAGCUUUCUACUCAUUCUGAUUGUGACUAUAUGCCAGUCACCGCAGGAGGUCUUCCAGGAUGAUCUGUCUGAUGCUUAUGCUGCACUGGGAUUCAUGAGAGAUGCUGGAUUUAAGUUGGAUUGGUUGGAGAAGAAGCUUGAUAUUGUUCUAUUCUGUCUGUUUUUUUAUUUUAACUUGCAGAUGUUUCGGGUGAAGGACCCUAAGGCUAGUCUUGACUUCUACUCACGUGUCCUGGGAAUGUCAUUGCUGAAAAGGCUUGAUUUCUCUGAGAUGAAAUUCAGCUUGUACUUCCUGGGCUACGAGGAUACUUCAACAGCUCCAACGGAUCCAACUGAGAGGCU